This is a long non-coding RNA of Anas platyrhynchos (mallard), 3413 nucleotides long. RefSeq lists it as uncharacterized. The record is from RefSeq and is a predicted model, not a curated record. NCBI's taxonomy places the organism in Eukaryota, Metazoa, Chordata, Aves, Anseriformes, Anatidae.
UGCUGGUGGUGGGUGUCAGCAGCUGUGGCUAGAUGGGCUCCAGCUGUGCUGGUGGAGAAGGGCAUUACUCACAGCCGGACCCCAGGGACUUUGCGUGCCCCUUUCAGCGAUCUGCAAAUCUGCCAGCUGAGCUGAUUGCAUGCCCUCUCGCUCUGAUUUAUGCUAGGCAGUUCAAUCAGAAGCUGAUAUAAAUUAACGUAGCUCUUUUGCUGUGAACGUUUGAUUUGGUUCAAAAGUGUCUCUUAAGCGAGAGUAAUUGCAGGCUCUGCCAGAUAAGUUUAGAGCUAUCCACGCUUAGGGUCUGUGUCAGAUUAGCAAAGCUGGUUUCCAAAUUGAUUUGGUUAUUGUUACAUAAAUUCUGUGUCUCGCUCAGAUGGCUGGUACAGGCAUUUAGGACAAAGUUGCAGGGAUCUUCAUCUGUAACCUUCUCCCACGCACAAAGUCCUGCAGGAGGAGGUUGAGAGCCCAGGAGGAAGGAAUGUCAGAGCCUGAGCCUCCAGAAUCUGUGAUGGAGUGGCAACACAGAAGGAUCCAGCCAACAUCUUUCACACCACCUGAAGCCUCACCUCUUUCUGGUCCUUCUCCACGUGAGACUGAAGACAUUCCUCAAGAAUCACUGGCUCGUGCCCAGCUGCUUAGCACUACUGCAGUGCCCUUUCCACGACACAUAGCCCUCUACCCUGGAGCUUGUGGCAUCCUCCUAGCCCUGGAGCAGAAUUAUUGUUUUAAUGUGUUUUUCAGCUUACAUUGUGAUAUGUCAGGGCUGUGCAACAACCUCUCAGAGUGAUGUUGUUAUAGCUUGAAAUGAAACGUAUGUAUUAUGUGCACUGGGAUACAAGUAAGUGUCUGGGUAGAGGGUUUGCUGAGCCUGCCAGAAUGGUGUUGGACAACACCGUGGAUCUCAGGGAGCCAAAUAAAAAGUUUGUGGCCUUAUUUGUGCUUGGGAGUAAUCCCAAGAGCAAACUACCCUGAGAUCCAUGCCUUAUCCUGAAGACACGAGAUGUACCUCGAUGGAUUCCCAAGGAGAACGCUAACAGUUAAGUAGGAAGCUCAAACUCAUUCCCUCUAACUGCACUGUAGACACAGUGUAAAUGUCUAAGUGCCCAAUUUAGUCUCCUGAAGGAAUGGGUACAAUACAACUACACAGGUUCAGACAGAGUAACUGAGUGCAUGUGGUAAGUGUAAACAAAUUUUGGGAACAGAAGUGGUUAAUGCCAUAUAUCACAAGCACCUGAACGUUUCAUACAUGCUGCUGAAUUAAAGCUGCUUGCAUCCCCGGUUAAUAGCUCUACCUGCAACUCAACAGAGCUUUGGCUGGCUUUUGGAUCUAAAAAUAAAGUUCUCCUUACUGAGAUACCGUGUAAUUGAGUGAUAUUCGCCGUAGGAAGGGAGUGUAGAAGUGGAGUAGGUUAUAUUUAAUUGCCGUGUGGAAGCCUCUCAUACAUUGCGUAGGAAACUUUUAUUGUAUUCUUGAUUGCACCAUAUGGCAUCCAAGUGUAAUGUGAUAAAAUUACUAAUACAGGACAAUAAAUAACGACGUGGUUAUGUGUGCUGGGUGCCACCCCAUCCAUGCAAAACAAGUAAUUAUAGCUGGAGUGAAAAAUGGAGGUGUGAGUGUUGUAUCUAGGAAUACAUUAGAAGUGACAGAGUUUGCUAUUAAGGGUGGGAGUUUGUCUCAUCUGACUCCAUGGAUUCAAGAAGUAGGUGUCCACGCGAAGCCAGUCAUCUGCAACUGCGUCUGUGAUCAGCGGAGAGGAACAGGCACUUGGGAAGAUAAACGGCCCCUCCGGUCUUAGACAAAUAUUUUCAGAGGAAUGAAUCUCAAAACCUCGCACAAACGGAGAAGCUUCAGCAGUAUCUUCCCGAGUGAAACAGAGAAUACGUCCGGGAAAGCCUGGUCACACACGGUAACCUUUCUCAAACAAAUCACCGAGCCUAUUCUCCGCUCCAGUGGACAGUCAUCAACAGCAAAACUUUGGCUUAACUUCAUUGCUUGUGGACACAGGCAGCAGUCUCCUUCGUUCUUCUUCGUGACUGCUUUCUGCAAAUUUGGAGAUUACUAUUCCCACUUCCCUCCAGUUUCCUCUACUCUUGGCACCAUUUGUAUCGUGACACCGAAAUGAAGCGCUCUUGUGAUAUGAGCAGGAUUUAUGCACAGUUAAGCCUCUCAGAUAAAGCGCAAUGAAGCUGAGACGAGCUCUGGGGGGUCUCAUUUGUUGCGAGGCUCCAGGACCUGCAGAAUACGCCUUCUCCCAUGGCAGGGAGUGAAGCCUUCGUCCCCCUGAUACUGGUGGCAAGCUUCUCCUGGAUCUGAAUUAGGUUGAAAUCACCGUGGAGGGAUCCGGCUCCCUGUUACGCAUGUACAUGUACUUGGUGCUGACAAAACGAGCUACGUGAGAGCCCUUGAAUCAGCUCGUCCUGACCUGGAUGCGUGCUCUCCUCGCUGGUGAGCAACCUGGGUUCCAGCUGUGCUGCCCAGACUGCUGCAAAGACUUGUCACAUCCCCUCUGUCUUUGUCCUUUUCUGACUGAAGGCCAGCCUAACCUUGUGGAGCACACGGAGAGAUCUCUUUCAGUGUCAUUUUUUGCCUAGUUAAGGCUGUGGGUUUGGGUCUGCAGCACCCAGUGCACCUAAAAGCCGAGUGUUGUCUUGGGAAAUUGCAGUCUGAGAGAAUCAUCUUUCUGCUGAAAUGUCCUUGGAGUAUGCGCUAUCGUUAGAAGCUACAUCCUACAACAGAAACACUUUAAAAUACAGAUUUAAAAAAGGACACAAAGGGAGAAAAUGCCUCUGUGUGCAGUGUACAGCUGUCAUCUCUUGCUAUCAAGGAUGGCUGGAUAUGGUGCUGGUGAGGAAAAGGGGAUUUGUUCAUUCUCUCUCCCCAUAUUGUCCACUUGCCCCUUGCUGCAGGAGUCUCCUCAAGCCUGAUGGAGCUGUGGCCACCCAGUCUUAGUAUGUUCUUGAUGAUUUUCUUGCUGGAUGUUCAGGGAAUGCUCCGGCUGUUGUGCUAGCCUGAGAAAAGAAAGCUCUUGCUCAUCUGGCAUUUGUUAGCCGCAGCUGUCUUUCCCUCUUUCACAGCAUUUCAGGUUAUGGAUAAGCUAGAGGAAAAGCAAAGGGAGUUUUUUUCAUGGCACCCGUUUCAAUUUGGAGCUCGGAGAGCACCAAACAGCUGAGGUCUGAGGGUGACUGCUGGUCUCACGGAAACACUCUCCUGUCUUUUGGGCUGAAUUAAACGUCGGUCUCCCUAUUACAUCUGGUGUUACGAGCUGCUUGCAGAUCUUUCUAUCUGCUCGUUCCCUCGUCCUGCUGGAAAACAAUACGUGGGAGUUUCUUUCCAUACCAGAUCUUUGCGGGUUACUUGCUAGUAAACUAAUUUUACAUGACUCAGAUUUAAAUAAUAAAAAGGCUUAACUCCA